RNAcentral lists this ribosomal RNA (547 nucleotides) under uncultured bacterium. RNAcentral's name for it is "bacterial SSU rRNA". It matches the Rfam family "Bacterial small subunit ribosomal RNA", at positions 355 to 896 of the family's 1533-position model. The record is from RNAcentral.
UGGGGAAUAUUGCGCAAUGGGGGGAACCCUGACGCAGCCAUGCCGCGUGAAUGAAGAAGGCCUUCGGGUUGUAAAGUUCUUUCGGUAUUGAGGAAGGUUGAUGUGUUAAUAGCACAUCAAAUUGACGUUAAAUACAGAAGAAGCACCGGCUAACUCCGUGCCAGCAGCCGCGGUAAUACGGAGGGUGCGAGCGUUAAUCGGAAUAACUGGGCGUAAAGGGCACGCAGGCGGUUAUUUAACUGAGGUGUGAAAGCCCUGGGCUUAACCUAGGAAUUGCAUUUCAGACUGGGUAACUAGAGUACUUUAGGGAGGGGUAGAAUUCCACGUGUAGCGGUGAAAUGCGUAGAGAUGUGGAGGAAUACCGAAGGCGAAGGCAGCCCCUUGGGAAUGUACUGACGCUCAUGUGCGAAAGCGUGGGGAGCAAACAGGAUUAGAUACCCUGGUAGUCCACGCUGUAAACGCUGUCGAUUUGGGGGUUGGGGUUUAACUCUGGCGCCCGUAGCUAACGUGAUAAAUCGACCGCCUGGGGAGUACGGCCGCAAGGUUA